RNAcentral lists this ribosomal RNA (417 nucleotides) under uncultured Gammaproteobacteria bacterium. RNAcentral describes it as "bacterial SSU rRNA". It matches the Rfam family "Bacterial small subunit ribosomal RNA", at positions 370 to 779 of the family's 1533-position model. The record is from RNAcentral. Lineage: Bacteria; Pseudomonadati; Pseudomonadota; Gammaproteobacteria.
AAUGAGGGAAACCUUGAUGCAGCCAUGCCGCGUGUGUGAAGAAGGCCCGAGGGUUGUAAAGCACUUUCAAUUGUGAGGAAAGGUUAGUCGCUAAUAUCGGCUAGCUGUGACGUUAACUUUAGAAGAAGCACCGGCUAACUCUGUGCCAGCAGCCGCGGUAAUACAGAGGGUGCAAGCGUUAUUCGGAAUUACUGGGCGUAAAGCGCGCGUAGGCGGACUGUUAAGUCGGUUGUGAAAGCCCUGGGCUCAACCUAGGAACUGCAUCCGAUACUGGCAAUCUAGAGUUUAGGAGAGGGAAGUGGAAUUCCUGGUGUAGCAGUGAAAUGCGUAGAUAUCAGGAGGAACAUCAGUGGCGAAGGCGACUUCCUGACCUAAAACUGACGCUGAGGUGCGAAAGCGUGGGUAGCGAACGGGAUU